RNAcentral lists this long non-coding RNA (371 nucleotides) under Setaria viridis. RNAcentral describes it as "long non-coding RNA (SVIR_LNC005323)". The record is from RNAcentral. Lineage: Eukaryota; Viridiplantae; Streptophyta; Magnoliopsida; Poales; Poaceae.
GACACUAUUUUUUUGUCACAUAAAGGUACCAAAUGUCGUCACAAAAUGUAAAUCGCUAGGAGCCGGUUGACGAUGGCGUUUCUAUGAUGAUAUGUGUUGUUUUUAUGUGACGGAUGUGGAGCGUCACUAUUUGUUAUUUCAAAUAUGUGCCCAGCAGCGCGAGCAGGCGGCCCAGCUGCGAGCUAAAAUGCAAAAAAGGAGAGCAACUGCUGGAACUGGGAAUCGAACCCGAGACAUUACAAUGGAGUCACGCAUGCCUUACCACUAGGCUACUGGCUCAGUUGUGUUUUGUCUUUGCAUGGCCAAUUUUUAUAUAACAUGAUACUGAUCAUGAUUUGGGUUGAAGAACACAUGAAUAGUUGAUCUUUCUC